CCGAUGGCUGUCCUGCAUACCUGGACCAUAAUCAGGGAUUCUACACCUAGUAAAUUAUUGGAGUAAAUUGUUCCUCGCGAGGCACUUCAAUAAUGCUUCUCGUCUGAAAUUCCUUUUUGUUUUGUUUGUGUGUAAGUAACAAAAACGUUAGCCGACAAACUGUUAAGUCGUGUCCUAGAUGUUUUGCAGCUUUUCAUCUCUAUUGGUUGUUAAUUUCUGUUUCCUGUUUAUGGACUCGAAUAUGUUUGUUGUAUACGAGCUAAUUGGUAUGGUGGUUCAUAUACUCGUGAUUAGAUAAAUGCACUUACGAUUGAAACCCAAUUUAUACUAAUUGAACUAUAUUUAUGUUUAACUAUAUAUUAAUGCGUAAAACGUUUCUUGGUAUGACAGACUGCUGUUGAGAAAGUUUUUGUUCUGCAAAAAACUUAGCUGGGUUGAUUCUUGAGGGCUUGGAUCGAUUGGCAACUUGAGGAUAAAAUUGGAAGCACAAUAAGAGCGUUGUUCAACAGGAUCGCGGUUCUCUUGUCAUAUAAAUUCAAUCUCGGUGCUUCUGGACUGCAUAUAGCUAGUUUUAUAGUGUUUCUCUUUCUGAAGGUGUUAAUGCUUCAACAUGCAUAACUGCCAAAUUGAGAAGCCUUUGCAUAUGGAAACAACUUGUGGCUCUCUUCUCUCUGAGAUGCAGAAAAUAUGGGAUGAGAUGGGAGAGCCAGAUAUCGAAAGAGAUAAGAUGCUUUUUGAACUUCAACAAGAGUGCCUGGAGGUAUAUUGAAGAA
Capsicum annuum is the source of this 773-nucleotide long non-coding RNA. RefSeq lists it as uncharacterized. The record is from RefSeq and is a predicted model, not a curated record. Lineage: Eukaryota; Viridiplantae; Streptophyta; Magnoliopsida; Solanales; Solanaceae. The transcript has 4 exons.